This 382-nucleotide unclassified non-coding RNA is filed under the name uncultured Glomeromycotina. RNAcentral's name for it is "sequence contains 28S rRNA gene". Lineage: Eukaryota; Fungi; Glomeromycota. The record is from RNAcentral.
GGAGUCAAAUAGUGCGUGAAAUUGUUGAAAGGGAAACGAUUGAAGUCAGUCGUACAGACGAGAAAUCAACCUCUCGAGGGUGGGUUCGUUUUGCGUAUCUGCAUUCUUGGGGUGUAUUUUCUCGUAUUGUAGGUUAGCGUCGGUUUUGGUCAUUACAAAAUGAUUGGAGGAAUGUAGCUUCGAUCUCGGUCGAAGUGUUAUAGCCUCUGGUAGAUGUGACGGAUGGGAUCGAGGAUUGCAACGGAUACCCCUAUGGGCUAUCUGCCUGACCUCUGAUGCGUCACUCCGGUGUUGAAAGCUUGCUUAUGAUAUUGGAGCGUGCGUUCAAAAGGUUAGAGCGGAUUAAAUUCGUUAAGGACGCUGACGUAAUGGCUUUAAACGA